RNAcentral lists this ribosomal RNA (253 nucleotides) under uncultured bacterium. Its description in RNAcentral is "partial 16S ribosomal RNA". It matches the Rfam family "Bacterial small subunit ribosomal RNA", at positions 524 to 776 of the family's 1533-position model. The record is from RNAcentral.
GACGAACCGUGCAAACGUUAUUCGGAAUUACUGGGUGUAAAGGGUUCGUAGGCGGUGUGGCAAGUCGGGAGUGAAAUCUCUGGGCUCAACUCAGAGACUGCUUCCGAAACUGCUGUGCUGGAGUGUGGGAGAGGCGCGUGGAAUUGCAGGUGUAGCGGUGAAAUGCGUAGAUAUCUGCAGGAACACCCGUGGCGAAAGCGGCGCGCUGGACCACUACUGACGCUGAGGAACGAAAGCUAGGGGAGCAAACAGG